This 253-nucleotide ribosomal RNA is filed under the name uncultured bacterium. RNAcentral's name for it is "partial 16S ribosomal RNA". It matches the Rfam family "Bacterial small subunit ribosomal RNA", at positions 524 to 776 of the family's 1533-position model. The record is from RNAcentral.
UACGGGGGGGGCAAGCGUUGUUCGGAAUUACUGGGCGUAAAGGGUGCGUAGGCGGCUCAGAAAGUAGGGUGUGAAAGCCCUCGGCUCAACCGAGGAAUUGCGCCCUAAACUACUGGGCUUGAGGAACGCAGAGGUAAGCGGAACUUACGGUGGAGCGGUGAAAUGCGUUGAUAUCGUAAGGAACACCAGGAGCGAAAGCGGCUUACUGGGCGUUUUCUGACGCUGAGGCACGAAAGCCAGGGGAGCGAACGGG